GAUGAACGCUGGCGGCGUGCCUAAUACAUGCAAGUCGAGCGAACAGACGAGGAGCUUGCUCCUCUGACGUUAGCGGCGGACGGGUGAGUAACACGUGGAUAACCUACCUAUAAGACUGGGAUAACUUCGGGAAACCGGAGCUAAUACCGGAUAAUAUAUUGAACCGCAUGGUUCAAUAGUGAAAGACGGUUUUGCUGUCACUUAUAGAUGGAUCCGCGCCGCAUUAGCUAGUUGGUAAGGUAACGGCUUACCAAGGCAACGAUGCGUAGCCGACCUGAGAGGGUGAUCGGCCACACUGGAACUGAGACACGGUCCAGACGCCUACGGGAGGCAGCAGUAGGGAAUCUUCCGCAAUGGGCGAAAGCCUGACGGAGCAACGCCGCGUGAGUGAUGAAGGUCUUCGGAUCGUAAAACUCUGUUAUUAGGGAAGAACAAAUGUGUAAGUAACUAUGCACGUAUUGACGGUACCUAAUCAGAAAGCCACGGCUAACUACGUG
RNAcentral lists this ribosomal RNA (497 nucleotides) under uncultured bacterium. RNAcentral's name for it is "partial 16S ribosomal RNA". It matches the Rfam family "Bacterial small subunit ribosomal RNA", at positions 28 to 507 of the family's 1533-position model. The record is from RNAcentral.